UUGUCUCAAAGAUUAAGCCAUGCAUGUCUCAGUACAAGCCGAAUUAAGGUGAAACCGCGAAAGGCUCAUUAAAUCAGUUAUGGUUCCUUAGAUCGUACCCACAUUUACUUGGAUAACUGUGGUAAUUCUAGAGCUAAUACAUGCAAACAGAGCUCCGACCGGAGACGGAAGGAGUGCUUUUAUUAGAUCAAAGCCAAUCGGCGGCGGGCGCGUUCGCGUGUCCGUUCGCCGCUCAACCUGGUGACUCUGAAUAACUUUCGGCUGAUCGCACGGUCUCGCACCGGCGACGCAUCUUUCAAAUGUCUGCCUUAUCAACUGUCGAUGGUAGGUUCUGCGCCUACCAUGGUCGUAACGGGUAACGGGGAAUCAGGGUUCGAUUCCGGAGAGGGAGCCUGAGAAACGGCUACCACAUCCAAGGAAGGCAGCAGGCGCGCAAAUUACCCACUCCCGGCACGGGGAGGUAGUGACGAAAAAUAACGAUACGGGACUCAUCCGAGGCCCCGUAAUCGGAAUGAGUACACUUUAAAUCCUUUAACGAGGAUCAAUUGGAGGGCAAGUCUGGUGCCAGCAGCCGCGGUAAUUCCAGCUCCAAUAGCGU
Molecule: ribosomal RNA, 598 nt
Filed under: Cybister sugillatus
Lineage: Eukaryota; Metazoa; Arthropoda; Insecta; Coleoptera; Dytiscidae
Description: SSU rRNA
Rfam family: Eukaryotic small subunit ribosomal RNA
Source: RNAcentral